UACGGAGGGUGCAAGCGUUGUUCGGAAUCAUUGGGCGUAAAGCGCACGUAGGCGGGUUUGUAAGUCGAUUGUGAAAGCCCCGGGCUCAACCUGGGAAUUGCAGUCGAAACUGCAAGUCUUGAAUGCUCGAGAGGAUGGUGGAAUUCCUGGUGUAGAAGUGAAAUUCGUAGAUAUCAGGAGGAACACCGGAGGCGAAAGCGGCCAUCUGGCGAGACAUUGACGCUGAGGUGCGAAAGCGCGGGGAGCAAACAGG
Molecule: ribosomal RNA, 253 nt
Filed under: uncultured bacterium
Lineage: Bacteria
Description: partial 16S ribosomal RNA
Rfam family: Bacterial small subunit ribosomal RNA
Source: RNAcentral